RNAcentral lists this transfer RNA (73 nucleotides) under Fidelibacterota bacterium. RNAcentral's name for it is "tRNA-Thr". It matches the Rfam family "tRNA". Rfam says of the family: Transfer RNA (tRNA) molecules are approximately 80 nucleotides in length. Lineage: Bacteria; Pseudomonadati; Fidelibacterota. The record is from RNAcentral.
GCCACCGUAGCUCAGUUGGUAGAGCAUUUCAUUCGUAAUGAAGGGGUCGGAGGUUCGAAUCCUCUCGGUGGCU